UACGUAGGUGGCAAGCGUUGUCCGGAUUUAUUGGGUUUAAAGGGUGCGUAGGCGGCCCUGUAAGUCAGUGCUGAAAUAUCCCAGCUUAACUGGGAGGGUGGCAUUGAUACUGCGGGGCUAGAGUACAGAUGAGGUAGGCGGAAUUGACGGUGUAGCGGUGAAAUGCUUAGAUAUCGUCAAGAACACCUAUAGCGAAGGCAGCUUACUAGGCUGUAACUGACGCUGAGGCACGAAAGUGUGGGGAUCAAGCAGG
RNAcentral lists this ribosomal RNA (253 nucleotides) under uncultured bacterium. RNAcentral describes it as "partial 16S ribosomal RNA". It matches the Rfam family "Bacterial small subunit ribosomal RNA", at positions 524 to 776 of the family's 1533-position model. The record is from RNAcentral.